CCUACGGGUGGCUGCAGUGGGGAAUAUUGGACAAUGGGGGGAACCCUGAUCCAGCCAUGCCGCGUGUGUGAAGAAGGCCCUCGGGUUGUAAAGCACUUUCAGUGAGGAAGAACGCCUGGUGGUUAAUACCCAUCAGGAAAGACAUCACUCACAGAAGAAGCACCGGCUAACUCCGUGCCAGCAGCCGCGGUAAUACGGAGGGUGCGAGCGUUAAUCGGAAUUACUGGGCGUAAAGCGCGCGUAGGUGGCUUGAUAAGCCGGUUGUGAAAGCCCCGGGCUCAACCUGGGAACGGCAUCCGGAGCUGUCAAGCUAGAGUGCAGGAGAGGAAGGUAGAAUUCCCGGUGUAGCGGUGAAAUGCGUAGAGAUCGGGAGGAAUACCAGUGGCGAAGGCGGCCUUCUGGACUGACACUGACACUGAGGUGCGAAAGCGUGGGUAGCAAACAGGAUUAGAUACCCUUGUAGUC
RNAcentral lists this ribosomal RNA (465 nucleotides) under Vreelandella stevensii. RNAcentral describes it as "partial 16S ribosomal RNA". It matches the Rfam family "Bacterial small subunit ribosomal RNA", at positions 338 to 795 of the family's 1533-position model. Lineage: Bacteria; Pseudomonadati; Pseudomonadota; Gammaproteobacteria; Oceanospirillales; Halomonadaceae. The record is from RNAcentral.